This 570-nucleotide ribosomal RNA is filed under the name uncultured marine bacterium. Its description in RNAcentral is "bacterial SSU rRNA". It matches the Rfam family "Bacterial small subunit ribosomal RNA", at positions 59 to 675 of the family's 1533-position model. The record is from RNAcentral.
AAGUCGAACGAAGUAGCAAUACUUAGUGGCAGACGGGUGAGUAACAUGUGGGUAUCUACCCUUUGGCCUGGAAUAACACGAGGAAACUUGUGCUAAUACUGGAUAAGUCUUUACGGAGAAAGCUUUAUGCACCAUUGGAUGAGCCCGCACUUGAUUAGUUUGUUGGUGGGGUAAUGGCCUACCAAGACUAUGAUCAAUAGCUGAUUUGAGAGGAUGAUCAGCCACAUUGGGACUGAGACACGGCCCAAACUCCUACGGGAGGCAGCAGUGGGGAAUCUUGCACAAUGGAGGAAACUCUGAUGCAGCGAUGCCGCGUGAGUGAAGAAGGCCCUUGGGUUGUAAAGCUCUUUCGUCGGGGAAGAAAAUGACUGUACCCGAAUAAGAAGGUCCGGCUAACUUCGUGCCAGCAGCCGCGGUAAUACGAAGGGACCUAGCGUAGUUCGGAAUUACUGGGCUUAAGAGUUCGUAGGUGGUUGAAAAAGUUGGUGGUGAAAUCCCAGAGCUUAACUCUGGAACUGCCAUCAAAACUUUUCAGCUAGAGUUUGAUAGAGGGAAAAGCAAAAUUUCUAG